ACAUCUAACCCAAAGGGCAAGCCACAGACCAUUAUCUCUCAGCCUGGACUCAGCGAGUGUCUCUUAAUUGGUCCCUGGCUCUGGUCUGUUCACAACAGCAACCAGAGAACAUCCUUCUUAUGUGCACGAUUCUCUAGAGGCUUCCCAACAUAUUUAGAAGAAAAUCCAGACUCACUACCCAAGCCUACAAGUCAGCCUUCACCCUCCUCGCCAACACCAUUUCUGCCUCAUCUGCACAUUCAUCCGUGGCUUUCUUAUGCUUCCUUGAAUGGGACUCUACAGAUCAGAAUCACAUCUGCUCCUAGUGAAAAGGAAAAGCCUGGUGACUAUUUCUGACAAACAAAGCUUUGCCAUUCUUCUGGAGAAAGAGGCCUCACAAAGAGACCCUGACAGAUGAAUGCCAUGUGGAGAGAGAAACUUUAUGGAUGAGAAUCAAGCUAAAAGCACCAAAGCCUCCAACAGAUGAGAGGCCUUUUGUUCCUUCUGGUCCAGCCCAACUGACAGGUAAAAGCAGCUGCACCAUUGACCAAGUCAGUACCAUAGGGGCUGAAAAAUUGUUCAGUUGACUCAUAAAAACAUAAGCAAAUAAACCAUUUUUAUUUAAGCAUGUUAAGUCUUGGAGUCACUUGUCAUGCAGCGGUAGAUAAGUGAAACACAUUGAGAUACCAUGGACCCCCAAUGUGACAGUAUUAGGAGA
Molecule: long non-coding RNA, 697 nt
Filed under: Callithrix jacchus (white-tufted-ear marmoset)
Lineage: Eukaryota; Metazoa; Chordata; Mammalia; Primates; Cebidae
Description: lncRNA (ENSCJAG00000084081.1)
Source: RNAcentral